AAGAUUUUAUCCAUGACUUAGAGCUGGUUGAAAUCAAGAGUAAAGAUUCUUUUUAUUCUUAGAAUAAUAAAGGUCAUGUCACUAGUAGAAAAAGAUAAAUAGGCACCGACAAAUACCCACCGGUAUUGAAAACCGGUGGUAAAAAUGCAAGACUAGACAAAAAAAAUAAAACAAGUUUAAUAACCGGUGCCCUUUUCCCAAAUAUAUAAAUAACCCCUAAAAUUAGAACACUCACGCUCUCUCUCCUCACCUCUCUACUCUCGAACUCUCUCGUUCUCUCUCCUCACUCUUCACUCUCCUGUUUCCUCUCCCCUCUCUCCUCUCAAACUCUAUGUCUCCUCUCUCUUCUCGCGCCACCGCAGCCACCACCAACGCAACCAUCCUCUCUCUCCUCUUUCUCCAUCAUAGCUUCCCACCACAGCCACCACCAGUGCAACCCUCCUCUCUCUCCAUCCUAGCUUCCCACCACCAGCCACCACCACCGCAGUCGUCACUAAUGGAGAUGUUAAAGCAAGCCCUUAAAAAACUAGGAGAACGAUGCCUAGAUCUCUACUGGCAACGCUGCUCCUCACAAGGUUUAUCCCUCCUUUUUUUUUGUUAAUUUUGUAAAAUUUGGGUUAGGGUUUCAAUUUCGUUGAGUUUUUGGAUUUUGAUUUUGGAUUUUGUGAUUUGGUUGUUGUUUUUUAGUUUGAAUUUGUAUGUGAUGUUUGAUUUUGUCCCUUUUUUUGAUUUUGAGUUUUCGCGGCAUACUCAAACAAAGGUAUCAUCGUCAAAAAAUCAUCGCUUAAUGAGUUAAUUCUAAUGUUAUCUAGUUAAAAAUGUGUUGAUUUUGCUUCAAUUUGGUUUAAUCUUUUAGGUAUUCGGAUUUCAUUGCAAUUGUGAUGAAGUUGAUUUGGAUGGAAAUGUUGUGCAUUUAACUUCAUUGCAUGUUUCUCCUGAGUCGGCUGAGAAUAAGGAAGAUAUUGUAGCUGAGCAAUCAGAUGAAAGUUACACUGAAGAGUGAAGAAGGCUUGAGCAAGAGUCAGGGUUUUUCUUCAAUAUGAAAUACUUUGAGGAGAAAGUGCAAGCAGGGGAGUGGGAUGAGGUUGAAAAGUAUUUAUCUGGGUUUACCAAAGUGGAUGACAACAGAUAUUCAAUGAAGAUAUUCUUUGAGAUUAGGAAGCAAAAGUAUCUCGAAGCUCUUGACCGGCAAGACAAGUCCAAGGCGGUUGAGAUACUUGUUGGUGAUUUGAAAGUAUUUUCGACAUUCAAUGAAGAGCUCUACAAGGAAAUCACAUAGUUUUUAGCUCUAACUAACUUCAGGGAAAACAAGCAGCUUUCAAAGUAUGGUGACACCAAAACUGCUCGUAACAUAAUGUUGGUAGAGCUUAAAAAGCUGAUAGAAGCAAACCCGCUUUUCCGUGACAAGUUGGUGUUCCUGACUCUGAGAUCGUCAAGACUGCGUACACUAAUUAAUCAAAGCUUGAAUUGGCAGCAUCAGCUUUGUAAGAAUCCCAGACCAAACCCUAAUAUCAAGACGUUGUUCACUGAUCAUACGUGAACUCCUCCAAAUAGAGCUGUUGCACCUGCUCUUGUAACUCUUCCAGUUGCUGCUGUUGCAAAGCCUGCUGCUUAUACGCAGCUAAGAGCUCAUGGUGUAUGUUGUCUACAAUCAUUUGCUAGUUUGUUUGUUUGUUUUUUUUACUUUUUUUUUUCUUUUUGAAGUUUGCUUUGGAUUUGUAAAAUAGCUUAUGGUGAUAUGUAAACCUGUUGUUCAUGUGACCUUUAAAUCCCAAGGCCUAGAGGUUUAAACCUGCUGCUGCAACUGCUGCCUCGCAAGGCUUUAACAUUAUGCAAGGCUGCUGCUGCCUCCGCUGCCUCGCAAGGCUUAUGCAAGGCUGCUGCUGCUGCAGCCACUGCCUCGCAAGGGGGCUGUUGUUGCAUGCUUCUAUGCUCCUGCUGCUGUUCUGGUCUACGCUACUGCUUCUAUGCUCCUGAUGCUGCUGCUAUGCUCUACGCCACUACUGUUCUACUCUCGCUGUAGCUAAUCUGCUCUACGCUACUGUUGUAAUAUUAUUACAGUCUGUCUAUUGAUAAUAUAAAACUAUUUUCUGUAAAUUUUUUUUUGAAUUAAAAUUGUCAUGUACUCAUGUUACAGCUUUAUAUUAAUGAAAAUA
Long non-coding RNA from Chenopodium quinoa (quinoa), 2156 nucleotides. RefSeq lists it as uncharacterized. The record is from RefSeq and is a predicted model, not a curated record. The transcript has 6 exons. NCBI's taxonomy places the organism in Eukaryota, Viridiplantae, Streptophyta, Magnoliopsida, Caryophyllales, Amaranthaceae.